Molecule: ribosomal RNA, 464 nt
Filed under: uncultured bacterium
Lineage: Bacteria
Description: partial 16S ribosomal RNA
Rfam family: Bacterial small subunit ribosomal RNA
Source: RNAcentral
CUACGGGGCGCACCAGUGGGGAAUAUUGCACAAUGGGCGCAAGCCUGAUGCAGCCAUGCCGCGUGUAUGAAGAAGGCCUUCGGGUUGUAAAGUACUUUCAGCGGGGAGGAAGGGAGUAAAGUUAAUACCUUUGCUCAUUGACGUUACCCGCAGAAGAAGCACCGGCUAACUCCGUGCCAGCAGCCGCGGUAAUACGGAGGGUGCAAGCGUUAAUCGGAAUUACUGGGCGUAAAGCGCACGCAGGCGGUUGUUUAAGUCAGAUGGGAAAUCCCCGGGCUCAACCUGGGAACUGCAUCUGAUACUGGCAAGCGUGAGUCUCGUAGAGGGGGGUAGAAUUCCAGGUGUAGCGGUGAAAUGCGUAGAGAUCUGGAGGAAUACCGGUGGCGAAGGCGGCCCCCUGGACGAAGACUGACGCUCAGGUGCGAAAGCGUGGGGAGCAAACAGGAUUAGAUACCCCCGUAGUC